GAUAUGUUAGUUUAAAAAGAAUAUUAAACUGUAAAUUUAAAGAUUAUACAUAUUA
Molecule: transfer RNA, 55 nt
Filed under: Hirudinaria manillensis
Lineage: Eukaryota; Metazoa; Annelida; Clitellata; Hirudinida; Hirudinidae
Description: tRNA-Tyr
Source: RNAcentral